Regulatory RNA element from Xanthomonas oryzae pv. oryzae, 117 nucleotides. It matches the Rfam family "ALIL pseudoknot". NCBI's taxonomy places the organism in Bacteria, Pseudomonadati, Pseudomonadota, Gammaproteobacteria, Lysobacterales, Lysobacteraceae. The record is from Rfam.
GGCGUCUUUUGCCCAGGCGGAACUCGACCGCCCCUUCACGAGGUGAAGCGCUUCAUCGACGACCAUCGCGACGUUCACGGGGUCGAGCCGAUCUGCAAGGUGUUGCCGAUCGCCCCG